Solanum pennellii is the source of this 640-nucleotide long non-coding RNA. RefSeq lists it as uncharacterized. NCBI's taxonomy places the organism in Eukaryota, Viridiplantae, Streptophyta, Magnoliopsida, Solanales, Solanaceae. The record is from RefSeq and is a predicted model, not a curated record. The transcript is spliced from 2 exons.
AAAAACAAAAUAUGGCAAUUAAUCCCUCUUUGUUGUACUAUAAGAGUUGAAACUCGCCGGUGAGAUUCUCCCUCUCUCUCGUCGGAGAGACGAAGAAGAUAACAUACAGAGAGAGGAAUGGGACAAGAAGGGAAUUGGGAGUGUAGUAGUUGCGGUGAUAAGAAUUAUGCAUUCAGAUUUUUCUGCAAUAGGUGUAAGCAGCCUCAUCUCCUUGUUGACAAUACAACUCCUCAUGAUUCAAAGUGGUUUCCUCGAAUUGGGGAUUAGAUCUGUACUGGAUUUGGAUUUCAGUUGAUAAGCUUCGGUAGCCAAAUCGGUCAAGCUUUUAAAAUUGGUUCAUUUUGUACAGUGUUACCUCAACGAAGUACUUUUGGUGAAAUGGAAGCUAAGUUUCUGCUCAAGGCUCAUGUAAUAAGCUACCCGCCAAGUAGUGAAAAGUGUAGACCAAUUAGUUCAUAAUCGAGUUGGACUCACUUGCACCCGUUAAUACAUGUAUAUACUUAAUUAUGGAUCAUAUAAUUAAAUGUGCACUCUCAAAUAUAUAAGUUGAGUUGUUGCAUUGGUCCAACACUGUUCAUUGCGCUUCUUCGCAACUCACAAGCAUAGUGUGCUGAGUUCGAUUCUGGCUGUUGCAUUUUCA